UCUAAAGAAAUAAAAGAAAGGUUACUUAAUUCAAUAGGAAAUCAUAUUCAUUAAGAAGUUGGGAAUGAGUAAUAUUUGUAAGUAGCAGUUUUGGUGUCAGAGUUCAUACUUGCAUUCUUAAAUCAUCUAUUCAAAUACUUAAUUUUCCAACCAUGGAGACCAACACUGCAAAAAAUACAUUCUCAUUACAAAGAAGAUAUCCAGUAUUCUAAAUGUCUCUUCACUUCUGUCUAUAAAAGAUGCAGAAGCAGCUUACUAGAUUUGAGCAUUGGUACCCAAACUCCUUUUCUGCAUGUCAGGUCCACAAAUCCUUUCUACUAUGAAGUGCAUUAAAUGAUCAACUGUUAAAAUACCAAAACCGGAAUACUUAUACUCAAGGGCAACAUAUCUGUUCUUUUAAAGAACAAGAUAUAAAUCAGAAGGAACAACUUAAUAGCUUAACUCAGCAGCAUGAGAACACGGUUCACUGAAUCUCUACAACAUAUUACCUAAAGUUUUGGAAGCAUCUUCUCAAACUCUGGCAGUAAAUCAUGUUAAACUUGUUGAUCACAGCACCCUGCUAAGCAGCACUCUCCCAAACAACAACUGCCUCUUCCUUGUAAGCAAUUCCAGGUGAAUCAGAUCAGAAAAAAAACAUUAUUCAUUAGAGUGGGGAAAUUAAAAAAUCAGCUUCUGUCCUCCACACUAAUUACAAUCUAUUAUGUGAUUGCCACCACACAAUGAAGCAUCACACUUGUGCCUGUCCCAUCUGAAGUGUAAGGGUCACCCCAUGGCUAUAGUCACAGGGCAGUAUGUUCUCCAGUAUAGGAGAACAGUGUACUUUAGCAUGUAUACUUAUAUGUUCUAAGCUUUGAAUCACACUCAACUUCAGUUGGCAGUCUAUGCCCAAAGGCUGCAAUGGCUGGAGAAAGAGGAAGGAUAUAUUAAAAAAAAAAAAAAAAAGUCUGAAAGAAACAACCCCCAACACCCAGGAAAAAAAAGUCAUAGAAAGAUUGUUCCAAAAAGGCAUCUAACUAAAAAAACCAAUCCAAAUCAUUACCAAACACACUGUAUCUCUAAUAGAUUGUGGAGAUGUCUUAAAAUUUCCUCUAAAUUCAUGAGCUACUUUCAAGAACGAGUUUGUCCUAUUUCACUUGGAUGAUUUAACUGCAAGACUGAAAGAGCUUUCCCAUUAACAGUUUCUUUUUCAUCUUAUCUGGGAGCAGAUAAGAUGAAUAAAUUAAAAUUCUUAAACCUCAUCAAGGUCAAUUUCUUACCCUUCCUGCACCUUCUUCUAAACCCAUGCUACUGACAUUUUCAGACCAAACUACUUCUUGUACACUAAUCAAACUGCAUUCCUGAAUGGUUUUUAUCGGGUAUUAGCAAAAAGUUCUUCACUGAGAGAACUGCCAAGCAUUGGAACAGGCUGCCCAGGGAAGUGGCUGUCACCAUCCCUGGAGGUAUUUAAAAGAUGUGUAGAUAUGGUGUUUGGGGACUUGGUUUAAGGGCAGACUUGGUAGUACAAUUGGAUUCAAUGAUCUUAAGGGUCUUUUCCCAACCUACAUGAUUCUAUGUCAAGUACUAAAUAAUAUUUCCUCCUUAAUUACUUUAUUUAUGCAUUUCUAAAUAAACUCCUCUAGAUCACGAGAUUCUCUGUGUUUGCUAAUUAAAUUUCUACUCAAUGAAUACCAACACAUGCAUCUUGUUUCUUUCAAAAUUACACACUGAAUAGCAGAAAUGCUGCAAAGCAAUGUGUUGUGCAUUGUUAUAAUUCCAGAAAUGUGCACGUGUUGAGUUCCAUGCUUUGUCACAUUCUUGGUAAUUCAUACUUUCUCCCCAUUUCCCUGAGAGCUUUAAGCAGUUGAAAUCUCACAACAGUACACAGAUGAACGCCAGUUCUAUUUCAGAGCUUACAAAAAUUAUGUAUUUGUCUUAUUUCCAUCAUAUUUAUCUUUUUUAUUUCGUAAUGUCUUGUUUCUAUCAGUUUGUAUUUAAGGGCAAAUUUUUGUGAUAUUGUGGCAACACAGAUGAAAAACUCCACAACACUUUCAAGGUCUUUGAUCCUGCUGAUCUUGUAUAACCUACAUCUAUGUAACCAUUUCUGAGCCAUUUCCAGACUGACCUCAUCAAAAGGAAAUAAAACCCUGGGUAAAAAAAAAAAAAA
Molecule: long non-coding RNA, 2143 nt
Organism: Corvus hawaiiensis (hawaiian crow)
Lineage: Eukaryota; Metazoa; Chordata; Aves; Passeriformes; Corvidae
Exons: 2
Source: RefSeq, a predicted model, not a curated record